RNAcentral lists this ribosomal RNA (279 nucleotides) under uncultured bacterium. RNAcentral's name for it is "partial 16S ribosomal RNA". It matches the Rfam family "Bacterial small subunit ribosomal RNA", at positions 506 to 784 of the family's 1533-position model. The record is from RNAcentral.
UGCCAGCCGCCGCGGUAAUACGAAGGGACCUAGCGUAGUUCGGAAUUACUGGGCUUAAAGAGUUCGUAGGUGGUUGAAAAAGUUGGUGGUGAAAUCCCAGAGCUUAACUCUGGAACUGCCAUCAAAACUUUUCAGCUAGAGUAUGAUAGAGGAAAGCAGAAUUUCUAGUGUAGAGGUGAAAUUCGUAGAUAUUAGAAAGAAUACCAAUUGCGAAGGCGACUCUCUGGGCCAAUACUGACGCUGAGGUUCGAAAGCGUGGGGAGCGAACGGGAUUAGAUA